AUUGAACGCUGGCGGCAUGCCUUACACAUGCAAGUCGAACGGCAGCGCGGGAGCAAUCCUGGCGGCGAGUGGCGAACGGGUGAGUAAUAUAUCGGAACGUGCCCAGUAGUGGGGGAUAGCCCGGCGAAAGCCGGAUUAAUACCGCAUGAGACCUGAGGGUGGAAAGCGGGGGAGUCGCAAGACCUCGCGCUAUUGGAGCGGCCGAUAUCAGAUUAGCUAGUUGGUGGGGUAAAGGCCUACCAAGGCAACGAUCUGUAGUUGGUCUGAGAGGGCGACCGGCCACACUGGAACUGAGACACGGUCCAGACUCCUACGGGAGGCAGCAGUAGGGAAUAUUGGACAAUGGGCGCAAGCCUGAUCCAGCCAUGCCGCGUGAGUGAAGAAGGCCCUCGGGUUGUAAAGCUCUUUUGUCCGGAAAGAAAAGCACUGGGUUAAUACCCCGGUGUCCUGACGGUACCGGAAGAAUAAGCACCGGCUAACUUCGUGCCAGCAGCCGCGGUAAGG
Molecule: ribosomal RNA, 504 nt
Filed under: uncultured bacterium
Lineage: Bacteria
Description: bacterial SSU rRNA
Rfam family: Bacterial small subunit ribosomal RNA
Source: RNAcentral